CCUACGGGAGGCAGCAGUGAGGAAUAUUGGUCAAUGGGCGCGAGCCUGAACCAGCCAAGUCGCGUGAGGGAGGACGGCCCUACGGGUUGUAAACCUCUUUUGCCGGGGAGCAACGGGCGUCACGUGUGGCGCCACUGAGAGUACCCGGAGAAAAAGCACCGGCUAACUCCGUGCCAGCAGCCGCGGUAAUACGGGGGAUGCGAGCGUUAUCGGGAUUUAUUGGGUUUAAAGGGUGCGUAGGCGGAUCGUUAAGUCAGUGGGAAAAUUGCGGGGCUCAACCCCUUCCCGCCAUUGAAACUGGCGCUCUUGAGUGCAAGAGAAGUAUGCGGAAUGCGUGGUGUAGCGGUGAAAUGCAUAGAUAUCACGCAGAACCCAGAUUGCGAAGGCAGCAUGCCGGCUUCCGACUGACGCUGAAGCACGAAAGCGUGGGGAUCGAACAGGAUUAGAUACCCUAGUAGUC
RNAcentral lists this ribosomal RNA (460 nucleotides) under uncultured bacterium. RNAcentral's name for it is "partial 16S ribosomal RNA". It matches the Rfam family "Bacterial small subunit ribosomal RNA", at positions 338 to 795 of the family's 1533-position model. The record is from RNAcentral.